GAGUUUAUAGCUCAGUUGGUAGAGCAAUGAGCUUUUAACUCAAGGGUCGUAGGUUCAAAUCCUACUAAACUCA
This 73-nucleotide transfer RNA is filed under the name Jenufa perforata. Its description in RNAcentral is "tRNA-Lys". It matches the Rfam family "tRNA". From Rfam's summary of the family: Transfer RNA (tRNA) molecules are approximately 80 nucleotides in length. Their secondary structure includes four short double-helical elements and three loops (D, anti-codon, and T loops). Further hydrogen bonds mediate the characteristic L-shaped molecular structure. tRNAs have two regions of fundamental functional importance: the anti-codon, which is responsible for specific mRNA codon recognition, and the 3' end, to which the tRNAs corresponding amino acid is attached (by aminoacyl-tRNA synthetases). tRNAs cope with the degeneracy of the genetic code in two manners: having more than one tRNA (with a specific anti-codon) for a particular amino acid; and 'wobble' base-pairing, i.e. permitting non-standard base-pairing at the 3rd anti-codon position. Lineage: Eukaryota; Viridiplantae; Chlorophyta; Chlorophyceae. The record is from RNAcentral.